Molecule: long non-coding RNA, 1660 nt
Organism: Cercocebus atys (sooty mangabey)
Lineage: Eukaryota; Metazoa; Chordata; Mammalia; Primates; Cercopithecidae
Exons: 3
Source: RefSeq, a predicted model, not a curated record
CCUAAGAGUGAGAAGCAGCAAGAUUUAUUGUGAAGAGCAAAAGAACAAAACUUCCACACUAUGGAAGGGGAGGCCAGACGGUUGCUGCUGCUGGUUGGGAGUGGUCAGCUUUUAUUCCCUUAUUUGUCCCCGUCCGUGUCCUGCUGAUUGGUCCACUUUACAGAGUGCUGAUUGGUCCAUUUUACAGAGCACUGAUCGGUCCAUUUUACAAACGUCUAGCUAGCUACAAAGCGCUGAUUGGUGCAUUUUUACAGAGCACUGAUUGGUACAUUUUACAAACCUCUGGCUAGCUACAGAGCACUGAUUGGUGCAUUUUUACAGAGCGCUGUUGGUUCAUUUUACAAACGUCUUGUAAGACAGAAAAGUUCUGGAAGUCCCCACUGGACCCAGGAAGUCCGGCUGGCUUCAUCUCUCAUUAUUAUUGUCAUGCGUGUCCAUGUGAAGAGACUACCAAAUAGGCUUUGUCAGCAAGGUCUAGUAGCACAAAGACCAACCGUCUGAUGGCCGCUGACCGUUCUACCCGUGGUCGUUUGGGACUCCGCGUGCCUUCCAGGCCCGGAUAAUACUGGACACUGCUUACUCCAGAAACAUGGGUGGAAGCUGGGCCAGGGAUUGGGAAAAUCUUUUCAGGGUAAGUCUUUACAUUUACCAGAGAAAAAGAAAGAAAACUGUUUCUGAUGCAGAUCUUGUACCUGAAUACAUUUGUUGUCUUUUUAAAAAGGUGCUUGGGUUUUCCUGCUUCCCUGCCUUUCUAUCCUUAGUCUAUUUUUCCUAUAACUGUAUUUUAAGUCACUGUUAAGCUUCUAUAACUGCCAUAAUUUGCAAGAGUAAGCUGCUGUGUCAUCAAAACUUUCAAGUCAAACAUACUGUGUGUGGCUCAACCUGUUUGAAAUUUUUUGUUUGUUUUUUUGGUGGAGGUGAUGGGUGGGUGGAGUGAAAGGGAUGCAGAGUGAAAGGGAUGCAAAACAUCAGAGUAUGCUUUCUUUGUACUAUUUCGUAAUGUAUUGUGGCUUCAGUAUUAUAAAGAGAAUCAUCCAGUAGCAGAGUUUAAUUUUUAUCCUUUUAAAUUCUCCCUGAAGCUGGUGAUUGCCUUGGCUCUUUUGCACUGCAAUAAGAAAUCUAUGUAGUGGUAGAAAGAAAAAUUAACCCCCAUGAAACAUAAAAUGAAAGCAGGGGUUUUUAAGGGCUCUCUAAGCAGAGAGGUUAUUUCUCAGGUCCCUAUCAAGGUCUGGAAAAUGUAUGGCUUAAAGAUUCCAUUGCAUUUGUUACACUGUUUAACUAUACCAGUUGUUUAACUAUACCAGUCAUUUGGAUUAUUUCAGCUUCUGAGUUCUUGCUAGUUGGAAACCAAGCAACUGCAUUCAGUUUUUAGCUCUCUUGGAUUCAAGAGCUGCUCUUUGUUCUUUGCAGAUGUGAUGUGAAUGCUGCCUCCGAAAUUAUGGGAAUCAUUGUGUCUCUACAUCUGGUCAUGGGGGAGCUUAUUGUAUAAGGGUAUCUUUGGGGAGAAGUGUGCUACCGUUGACGAAUUCUUUGAAUUUUGGAAAUGGAUUUUGACAGUUUGAAUGCUGAGAUCUGAUCAAUUCGAGUGUGUUGAGAGGAACAAGGACAGGUGUAGUGGUUCAUGCCUGUAGUCCUAGCAAUUUGGGAGGCUGAGGCAGGA